This 211-nucleotide ribosomal RNA is filed under the name Ilyonectria sp. RNAcentral's name for it is "partial large subunit ribosomal RNA". The record is from RNAcentral. Lineage: Eukaryota; Fungi; Ascomycota; Sordariomycetes; Hypocreales; Nectriaceae.
AAGCGCUCAUGACCAGACUUGGGCUUGGUUGAUCAUCCAGGGUUCUCCCUGGUGCACUCUUCCAGCCCAGGCCAGCAUCAGUUCGCUGUGGGGGAUAAAGGCUUUGGGAAUGUGGCACUCUUCGGGGUGUGUUAUAGCCCGUUGUGUAAUACCCUGGGGGGGACUGAGGUUCGCGCAUCUGCAAGGAUGCUGGCGUAAUGGUCAUCAACGA